ACCCACUUUAAGAUACCUUAAUCUAAUUGCCUUCCAAGCAAUUAGAUUAAGGUAUCUUAAAGUGGGUA
Molecule: transfer RNA, 68 nt
Filed under: Bolma rugosa
Lineage: Eukaryota; Metazoa; Mollusca; Gastropoda; Trochida; Turbinidae
Description: tRNA-Gly
Source: RNAcentral